ACUAUCCUACCAAUGCUUAUGCUUAUAAAAUAAUAGAAUAAACUUCAAAUAUUAUUUAUACAGUAUCACGCUUUUUCACUUUAGUAUCUUAUAAUUUAAAGUGUACCACUUUAGCACUAUAUAUUUUUUAUUUUCAUUAGCGCCUCGAUUAAUUCUCCGUUAAAUUAUAUACAAAAAACUUUAUAUACCCUACCUAUAGUUUAUAAAAUAUUCACUUUAGUAUCCUAUGAAUUUAAUUUAUCAUUGAUUUAAUGAAAAAAUUAAUGAAAGUGAUAACAGAAAAAAAAAAAAAAUCAUAGGAUACGAAAGUAAUAUAUUUUAAACUAUAGGAUAUGAAAGUAAUACAUUUUAAAUUAUAGGAUAGUAAAGUGAGAAUACCGAAAGAUGAUAUUUAAAUUUUUUCCUAAAAAAUAUAU
This 416-nucleotide long non-coding RNA is filed under the name Ananas comosus (pineapple). Its description in RNAcentral is "long non-coding RNA (ACOM_LNC015630)". Lineage: Eukaryota; Viridiplantae; Streptophyta; Magnoliopsida; Poales; Bromeliaceae. The record is from RNAcentral.